Dromaius novaehollandiae (emu) is the source of this 3418-nucleotide long non-coding RNA. RefSeq lists it as uncharacterized. The transcript is spliced from 3 exons. The record is from RefSeq and is a predicted model, not a curated record. NCBI's taxonomy places the organism in Eukaryota, Metazoa, Chordata, Aves, Casuariiformes, Dromaiidae.
UCCGAUCACUGACUCUUCUUUUCCCUUUUUCCUCUGUCUUUUCCCAUGGCAACCAUGUGAAAAGCAUAUACUAUUCACUGAGGGCUAAUCAUUCUGGAGGAACAGGGCAUGAGCAGGACCCAAGGCUUCAGCAUGCUCUACCCGUGCAGCAGUUGGGUGAGUGCAGGCAUCUCUCCUGCCCCUCUCCGGUCUGUCUGUCUGUGCACUGGCAGCAUCAGCACCACCAGCAGGUCUGAGCUCACUGGUUAAGACUACUGCAAGCCACUUCUUUUGGGAAGGGGUCCAGAAGCAGCUUGUGACCCAUUCUGCUAGCCUCAUACCAUCUGAAGGUCAAAUCUUCAACAAAUGAGCUAGGAUUUUUUGACCAACACUAUUUUGGAGGAAGUGAAAUUUCAGCAAUUUUUAAGUAUUGUUCCAAUUAGCUCGUGCUAAAAUUAAGAUCUAUUACUAUUGUGUUGCACGGCUUGUAAAUGUAAACAUAGCCUUAGACUGAGCUUUGGCACUCUUCUACCUCAUUCAUCUCUACUGAAGAAACCUGAGGAGGAGGAAUGAAGAAACCUGAGGAGGAGGAAAGAAAGAAAGAAAGAAAAGAAAAUGAAAGAUGGCAGAAAAAUAUGGAAAUAAGAAACAAAUAACACUUAGUGGAACAAAUGCCGCUGACUGAGGAAGUUAAAGACAUGGUUAAGGACGUGGUUAUAUGACCACCUCAGAAGAACAGGGAGAAGAGAGAGAAAUAUAAAUACAAAGGGAAGUAGGAAGACAAUCUAUUUUGUCCUUCCAUGAAACUGAACUUAAACCCUGUAAAGAAUACAUCAUUAAAUAUUGCUGUUUUCAUUGCACUUCAGAGAAGAAGUGGCUGGAGCUGGCAAAAAAGGUUUCCUGUUGCAGCAUUUGCAGAUGUAAUUAGGAAACAGGAAACAUCCAGCUCUCAAGCAGUUUAAUUAAUGAGAAAACCCGACUGGAUUCUGAGAUGGGAAAUAGCCUCCUGGUGGACCUUAAAAGGAAUAGCUUUGAGUCAACUGCAAAUAUUGCAAAAACUGGCUGGAAAGUUAGUAUUGAGCUUUAAUGAAAACAUUAAAAGCAAACAAAACACUAGGCAUUUCAGUAAACUACUUAAACGAAGUAUGUCAGAUGAGCUCUGUUUAUCAGUAAUUAAAGUUUUAUGGCUCAUUUAACUUUGCUAACGUAGCUGAACAAAGGGACGUUAAUUUUUUCAAAAAAUUCUUAACUGCUAUUAGAGAAAAAUUUUCACUAUUCAGAAUGCAAAAAAACCCAGGGGACUCUAGAGAAGGAAAUCUGUAAGAGAUCUGGGAUGCAAGGGCAGUGAUGUGAGAGACACCUUUACAAGCAAUUGCCAAGGAAUCUAUGUGGUCAGGUAAGCAACAUGGGGUACUUCAGCUAAUAGCAUUAUAGAGCAUUUAUCUACUAGAUAACUUUACUCUGCUGUCUGCAAAUCACUUUUUUUUUGAAACAUGCCAUAAUGCUGUUAGUUCUAGGAGCCAGCAAAGUCAGUACCUAGACAACUGGAGUUAAUAUCUGAAGUUUAGCUCACGCUAAAGGAUCCAUUUUGUGUCCAGCUGGUAGGGCUCUGUGAUUUACAUGAGUUACUCCAAGUGUGGCCAGAGUGUUUGGUUACUUUGCCUGGCAGGAAGAGAACUUUAGGUAUUUACACUGUCUUCAUUUCCUUAAAGCAAUCUCAAACGCAUUGGUUUUCUUCCUGUGAAAAGAGAUUUGGGAUUCUGUUAAAAAUAUCAGAGUAGGCUAUCUAGUGAGAUGCCUUUUCACCUUUUCCACCCUGGCAUGCUUGGGUCUACCAUGUUUCUCUUACCUUUUCUGCCACACUUCCUCCCCAAAUUUAUAUACACAUCCUUGUGAGAUAGAACUGGAUGUGAUACUUGUGCCAUCAGAAAAAGAAAUUAAUCCUAUUUCUGAGCAGAUAACAAAACAAUAUGCUAGUGUGAAGGAAAAAGAAGUGAAGAUAGUUGAUAUAUCCAAAGGACAUUAUGUUAGCGAAGUGUAUACAACUAUAAACGCCUACUGGGUGACAGCAUAUCAUCUACAAAAUGACAAGUAUUAUCAGGACUGUUCUGUAAGCCUUAUUAUCUCCUUAAAAAGUAAACACAGGUGAUAUGCUGGAUACACCCAGUGUGGAUAUGUUUGUAAAUAUGGAAGGAAUGAAAAAAAUAAUCAGCAACAGUUAAGUUGGAAUAGCUGCUGUCAGCAUGGCAUCUUCAUAAGGCAAACUAAUGAUAUAGUUCAAUUUUUAAAAAGAUCACGUAGCAGAACACAAAAUAUAAUCCCAAUCGUCUAGUCUCUGAAAAGACUAAGAAUGAUGAUAUUAUUAAACAACAUCUGUCAGAGGCUUACCAAGUCUGCAUCCUUUUUAGUUACCCAUUAAAGCCCUAUAAAAUCAGUGAGAGUUCUAGGAAGAAAAAACAAUCUAAUCCUAUGCAAAUUAAAGCAGGGAAUGCCAGUAUGAUGGAAUUAUACUGUUUAAUGCAGCAGCUACUGGUAGAACAACAAAGAGCCACAGAUUUGGGUGGCAUAAUUCAGGUUUAGGUAAGACUUGGCCAACAAUUAUACUAUAGAACUGUUAUUAUGGGAGUUCCUCUGGACUACAACUGUUCCUCACUCACUGUCAGACUUUUGCUAAGUUAUUUAACAGCUGUGACCACACACACUAUGCACAUAGUAAAACUCAGUUUUUACCUCUGUUUCCUAGUCUUUAUCUACAGCUUCCAAUCCACAGCUCUAAUCAGAACUGGACCUGAAUCACCUAUGUUAUUUAGAUUAAGUGAGUACACAAUGUCUUCUGUCUGUCAAGAGGAACAGACUACAUCCCGACUUGCAGAAGCUUUUCAUCUAGACAAUGCUGUACAUGCCUAAAUCAUAAUUUUGUGUGAGAGCGGAUUUACACAGAUAAGAAGGUGAUUUUCUUGCUUCACCAAUAUUGGCCAAAAGGGAAGAAAUGAAGCACAUACUCUGGCUGUAAAAGCAUAGGCUGCUACCAAGCAAAUUAAAAGGCCUACUAGUUUAGGUUUCAAAAUGAAUUGCCCCGUAAAUAUUUCUGGAUGAGUGAGAAUUGACAAUAGUAAUAAAUUCUUUCUUUUGCCAAACAGAAACCUGAAGGAAAUCAUUUAUUCUUAACAUAAGUGUUCAGGGAAGAAAUUUUCUGAACUAUACUUUCUAUACUGCUAUACUUUCAGAAGUCCACUGUUUUUCAUCCCAUUAAGAAAUAAUUAUGAGUCAAUAAUAUUCUCUCUGCAUUUUGUAUUAGUUGAAAAUAAGAGAAUCUGGAGGCCAAUAAUUAAUGUGAAUUUUUGAUUUGCUUCAAGUGAAUUUGGAAAAUAUUAGAGGACAAAAAUUAAAAAAGAAACAUUUGCCAUUUGUUAAAUCACAAGCAAUGGAUUUGUUGGUU